GCACAGCACUGCUAUGGGGGCAGCACUGCUAUGGGGGCAGCACUGCUAUGGGGUCAGCACUGCUAUGGGGUGAGCACAGCACUGUUAUGGGCUCAGCACUGCUAUGGGGUCAGGCACUGCUAUGGGGUGAGCACUGCAUUGGGGUGAGCACAGCACUGCUAUGGGGUCAGCACUGCUAUGGGGUGAGCACAGGACUGCUUUGGGGUCGGGCACUGCUAUGGGGUGAGCACAGCACUGCAUUGGGGUCAGCACUGCUAUGGGGUGAGCACAGCACUGCUGUGGGGUAGGGCACUGCUAUGGGUCAGCACAGCACUGCA
RNAcentral lists this long non-coding RNA (317 nucleotides) under Phasianus colchicus (ring-necked pheasant). RNAcentral's name for it is "lncRNA (ENSPCLG00000018918.1)". The record is from RNAcentral. Lineage: Eukaryota; Metazoa; Chordata; Aves; Galliformes; Phasianidae.